ACGGGAUGGGCCCCAAUCGGGAAGCACGCGCCACCAGCUCUGGAGAGAACCGUCUGAGGAGACGCGGGGGAGAGUUUGGGUCACAGGAGCAGGAAGGAACUGGCAGGUGUCUGUCACCUUAUCAUCCCGGACACCAUGUUUACAUUGUAAUUGGCUUCUUUACAGAGAGGGAGGGACCAGGUUCCCAGUGUGAGUGAUGUUUAGAGGUUUUCUGAGAAGCACAAGGACUGGACUUUGACAGGAAGCAACGAGGCAAGAGGGAAGCUCGAGAACAGGUUUUGCUGAGGAUUCCCCCCAAGAAAAGUGCUCCCCGGGAGGCCGUUCCUGGCACCAAGACUGGCGGAGCCACCACACCCGUUAAAGGGAUCCACCUGGACAGCGAUCAGGCCACCUCCAAGGAUCACGUAGGACCAGCAGAAGCAGCGUAAAGUAUUGGAACUUUGAAUCUGACAUCAGAAAGACCUGCACUCAGCCGGGCACGGUGGCUCACGAUUGUAAUCCCAGGCCGAGGCGGUGGAUCACUUGAGAUUCACUGAUUCUAGGUAAAUCAGAGGAACAAGCAACAUGAACAGAAAAAAUGUAGAAAAUGCAAUUAUGCUGAAGUACAAUUGUUGUUUCAGAAGUCCAGCAUCUGGUGUACUUAACAAUAGAGAAUAUAUUAAAUUUUUCCAAAAUAAAAAAAACAAGUAGGAGACUCGCUAGUGAAAAUUAAAUGGCAUAUGCAAAGUCUUUAAUACAGCAUUUGGUACAUGAGAGGGACUCAGUAAAUUUUAGUAACUUAUAAUUAUUAGGAAGACUAUGACUGCCCCCAUUUAAAAGAUCAGCAGUCUGAGGCUUAUAAAGACCAAGACUUAUUCAAGUCUUGUGAUUUCCAGCCUGAGGCUCUUUCUACUUUGUGAAAACUGAG
This 907-nucleotide long non-coding RNA is filed under the name Homo sapiens (human). RNAcentral's name for it is "HSALNT0006743". Lineage: Eukaryota; Metazoa; Chordata; Mammalia; Primates; Hominidae. The record is from RNAcentral.